This 92-nucleotide transfer RNA is filed under the name Streptomyces sp. S1D4-20. RNAcentral describes it as "tRNA-Met". It matches the Rfam family "tRNA". Rfam says of the family: Transfer RNA (tRNA) molecules are approximately 80 nucleotides in length. Their secondary structure includes four short double-helical elements and three loops (D, anti-codon, and T loops). Lineage: Bacteria; Bacillati; Actinomycetota; Actinomycetes; Kitasatosporales; Streptomycetaceae. The record is from RNAcentral.
CGCGGAGUGGAGCAGCUCGGCAGCUCGCUGGGCUCAUAACCCAGGUUAGUUCGGUCGAUACACCGCAGGUUCAAAUCCCGCCCCCGCUACCA